UAGGGAAUCUUCGGCAAUGGACGAAAGUCUGACCGAGCAACGCCGCGUGAGUGAAGAAGGUUUUCGGAUCGUAAAACUCUGUUGUUAGAGAAGAACAAGGACGUUAGUAACUGAACGUCCCCUGACGGUAUCUAACCAGAAAGCCACGGCUAACUACGUGCCAGCAGCCGCGGUAAUACGUAGGUGGCAAGCGUUGUCCGGAUUUAUUGGGCGUAAAGCGAGCGCAGGCGGUUUCUUAAGUCUGAUGUGAAAGCCCCCGGCUCAACCGGGGAGGGUCAUUGGAAACUGGGAGACUUGAGUGCAGAAGAGGAGAGUGGAAUUCCAUGUGUAGCGGUGAAAUGCGUAGAUAUAUGGAGGAACACCAGUGGCGAAGGCGGCUCUCUGGUCUGUAACUGACGCUGAGGAUCGAAAGCGUGGGGAGCAAACGGG
Molecule: ribosomal RNA, 429 nt
Filed under: Gemmatimonadota bacterium
Lineage: Bacteria; Pseudomonadati; Gemmatimonadota
Description: Gemmatimonadetes bacterium partial 16S ribosomal RNA
Rfam family: Bacterial small subunit ribosomal RNA
Source: RNAcentral